This 468-nucleotide ribosomal RNA is filed under the name uncultured bacterium. RNAcentral's name for it is "partial 16S ribosomal RNA". It matches the Rfam family "Bacterial small subunit ribosomal RNA", at positions 28 to 507 of the family's 1533-position model. The record is from RNAcentral.
GACGAACGCUGGCGGCGUGCUUAACACAUGCAAGUCGAACGGAAAGGCCCUGCUUUUGCUGGUUGCUCGAUUGGCGCACGGGUGAGUAACACGUGAGUAACCUGCCCUUGACUUUGUGAUAACUUCAGGAAACUGGGGCUCAUACCCGAUAUGAGCUCCUGCUGCAUGUUGUUGGUUGGUAAGUUUCGGCGGUUGUGGCUGGACUCGCGGCUUAUCAGCUUGUUGGUGAGGUAGUGGCUUACCAAGGCUUUGACGGAUAGCCGGCCUGAGAGGGUGACCGGGGACAAGGGGACUGAGAUACGGCCCAGAAGCGUACGGGAGGCAGCAGUGGGGAACAUGGCAGAGUGGGCGGAAGUCAGAGACAAAAACGUCGGGUGCGGGAUGACGGGCUUCGGGGGAUAAACAGCUGUGGAAGGUAACGAAGAGUGAGUGACGGUAACGGGUAAAGAAGCAACGGCUAACUACGUG